RNAcentral lists this long non-coding RNA (2110 nucleotides) under Nicotiana benthamiana. RNAcentral's name for it is "long non-coding RNA (NBEN_LNC016685)". The record is from RNAcentral. Lineage: Eukaryota; Viridiplantae; Streptophyta; Magnoliopsida; Solanales; Solanaceae.
CUAAUUAUGCCGGUGUAACACCGCGCAGCCUCCGCCAUAUAACCACCGCCCACCACCGACCGAAAAUCGCCAGCGGAGGCGGCGUAACCGAAAUCUACCCAAAUUUACAACCCAGGUUCCCCGUCUUCCCCUCUUUCCAACCCCCCUAAAAUCACCCCUCAAAACCCACCCAAACGCGUCGAAUAUCCCUUCGAAGGAGCGGUUGCUCCGUCGUACACGGCGGCUUCGACUCCAAUGGCCUCCAAAUUAACACCCAAUACUCCCCUUGGCCUCCCCUACCCAAAAAUGAAAAAAACUUCAUUCGAAUAACCCCCAAGCUUGUCGAAUUUUAAAUCUGAGUCCUGACCUAAUUUUGAGAAGGAAAUUUUAUUAAGACGUUUGAGUUUAUAAAUAGAAUUGCAUGUUUGUUUUGGCCAACAACAAAGCUAUAACUCUGUUUGGAGGUUCAAAAUUGAAUCCAGUCAAGUAUCUUUAAAAGAACAACCAGUAAGUUUCAUCUUUUUCUUCUGUUUACUUUUGUUGUUUUUGCUUCUUUGUUAAUAAUUUUAUCUUAUUUUAAGUUUUGACUAUUAGUUUUGAUUAGAAACAUUGAUUAGUUUUUCUCAGAUCUGAGUUUGGAUUUUGGUGACCAUUUGAUUCUGUGUGCAUUUGUGUUGUUCUUCUGGUGAUCCCACAGGUUUAGCUUCUAACCGUAUUACCCAUUUCUUUAGCUUAAUAUCCAAGUUUGAUUUAGUCCUAAUUUUUUGACCUUUUCAUGUUUAUUGUUCAACUCAGUUUAAUGUUCAACAAAUAAUUAGUAGUAGUUUGAACAGGGAUCAAUUUUUCAAUUUUGGUUGUUCCAAAUGGUAUAAUGGCAUGAUAGUCACAACUUUGCAUGUUUUUUCUUGCUAUUUCAGCAUUUAGUUCGAAUUUUGGUUCACUAGUGUUUGAAUUCUAAGUUGGAUUUUUGUUUAUUUUUCUGAUUAAUGGUUCAAAUUUGAUUAAGGUAUUGGUUAUAGCUGUUAGCUAGAAAAUAGUUAGCUUAGUAAACCAGUAAUCUAGCAUACUAAAAGGGUAAUAUAGGAUUUUAAUUUGGUUAUAGUAAUAUUAGGAUUAACGUUAUAGCUGUUAGCUAGUAAAUAGUUAGCUUAGUAAACCAGUAAUUCUAGCAUACUAAAAGGGUAAUAUAGGGUUUUAAUUUGGUUCUGGUAAUAUUAGAAUUAAAAUGAGGGUAGUAUAGGUGUCCUAUAAGUUUGAAACAAUGCUAGAAUCUUUUAGACCCUUCUAGAAGGGGAUUUCGUUUAAAAAUCAGUAGUUUAGUGCAGUAACUUGGGAAACAAGUCAAAAAAUGAAGGACCAAAUAGGUAAAGUCUGAAAAUCAAAAGAGAGACUAGUAGUUAAAAUGAAAUAAAAGGGUUGACCUAGCCUUUGGCUAUAAAAGGGACCCCAAUUCAUUCAAAAAAGGGGGUUACAUAGUCUGAAAAACAAUAAGAAACUUCCAGUUAUUUUAAAAGCCCUAUAAAAUCUCCAAAAAUUCCUGAAAGUGUCCAGAAAUCCUAGGCUUAUAAGAGUUGUCAAAUUUUCUGAAGUUCAUGGGCCUUUCACUGUUCUAUUAGGUUGCUUUUCCUGAAAAUAACUUUAAUUUCGGUCGUGCAGUAGAAGUUAGCUAUAUAAAGAUUAAAAACAGCCUGAAAAAUAUACAUUUAAAGAGUUGAGUUUCUAGCAUUGUCUUGGGGUUCAAUUGAAGUUGAUUACGUCAUUGUUCCAGCUAUUUUGAGUCAAAUUGCUGAUUUUGUGUGGUGUCAAAACCUUCCUGGGUUCCCGUUUGGCUAUUUGAGUUUCAUUUGAGCCAUCUGGUUGGUUUUUACUGGUCUGAGCUUGGGUUUAAGCUUUCCCGGGGAUAUUUGGUAGCAUUACUGGGUGUAUUAACUACUCAUGACCUUUGGAUUUGUGAAUAUCCUGCUGUUUGAUCAUUGCCGACUCUCAAAUUUAUUUUUCACACAUUCCAGGUAUAUUUUUUAACCUCCAAUGAUGUAUGAAGUUUAAGCUUAAUGAAUAUCCAAGUUGAAGAUGCAUAUUAUUCUUUCCUUUAUCAACUUUUGUGACUAUUAUUAUGUCUAUUAUAGCUGAG